RNAcentral lists this ribosomal RNA (410 nucleotides) under Gemella morbillorum. Its description in RNAcentral is "bacterial SSU rRNA". It matches the Rfam family "Bacterial small subunit ribosomal RNA", at positions 28 to 425 of the family's 1533-position model. Lineage: Bacteria; Bacillati; Bacillota; Bacilli; Caryophanales; Gemellaceae. The record is from RNAcentral.
GACGAACGCUGGCGGCGUGCCUAAUACAUGCAAGUCGAGCGAAGUUUUUCUGGUGCUUGCACUAGAAAAACUUAGCGGCGAACGGGUGAGUAACACGUAAAGAACCUGCCUCAUAGACUGGGUCAACUAUUGGAAACGAUAGCUAAUACCGGAUAACAGCAUUAACUGCAUGGUUGAUGUUUAAAAGUUGGUUUUGCUAACACUAUGAGAUGGCUUUGCGGUGCAUUAGCUAGUUGGUGGGGUAAAGGCCUACCAAGGCGACGAUGCAUAGCCGACCUGAGAGGGUGAUCGGCCACACUGGGACUGAGACACGGCCCAGACUCCUACGGGAGGCAGCAGUAGGGAAUCUUCCGCAAUGGGCGAAAGCCUGACGGAGCAACGCCGCGUGAGUGAAGAAGGAUUUCGGUUCG